This 492-nucleotide ribosomal RNA is filed under the name uncultured bacterium. RNAcentral describes it as "partial 16S ribosomal RNA". It matches the Rfam family "Bacterial small subunit ribosomal RNA", at positions 29 to 507 of the family's 1533-position model. The record is from RNAcentral.
AGUGAACGCUGGCGGUAGGCCUAACACAUGCAAGUCGAACGGCAGCACAGUAAGAGCUUGCUCUUACGGGUGGCGAGUGGCGGGCGGGUGAGGAAUACAUCAGAAUCUACUAUUUCGGGGGGGAUAACGUAGGGAAACUUACGCUAAUACCGCAUACGACCUACCGGUGAAAGCAGGGGAUCUUCGGACCUUGCGCGAUUGAAUGAGCCGGUGUCGGAUUAGCUAGUUGGCGGGGUAACGGCACACCAAGGCAACGAUGCGUAGCUGGGCUGAGAGGAUGAUCAGCCACACUGGAACUGAGACACGGUCCAGACUCCUACGGGAGGCAGCAGUAGGGAAUAUUGGGCAAUGGGCGAAAGCCUGACCGAGCAAUACCGCGUGGGUGAAGAAGGCCUUCGGAUUGUAAAGCCCUGUUGUUAGGAAAGAACAGCUGUGUAUUAAACUAUCGCUGUCUUGACGGUACCUAAAGAAUAAGCACCGGCUAACUUCGUG